Molecule: ribosomal RNA, 433 nt
Filed under: uncultured bacterium
Lineage: Bacteria
Description: partial 16S ribosomal RNA
Rfam family: Bacterial small subunit ribosomal RNA
Source: RNAcentral
AGCGAACGCUGGCGGCAGGCCUAACACAUGCAAGUCGAACGAACUCUUCGGAGUUAGUGGCGGACGGGUGAGUAACACGUGGGAACGUGCCUUUUGGUUCGGAAUAACUCAGGGAAGCUUGUGCUAAUACCGAAUGUGCCCUUCGGGGGAAAGAUUUAUCGCCAUUAGAGCGGCCCGCGUCUGAUUAGCUAGUUGGUGAGGUAACGGCUCACCAAGGCGACGAUCAGUAGCUGGUCUGAGAGGAUGACCAGCCACACUGGGACUGAGACACGGCCCAGACUCCUACGGGAGGCAGCAGUGGGGAAUCUUGCGCAAUGGGCGAAAGCCUGACGCAGCCACGCCGCGUGAAUGAUGAAGGUCUUAGGAUUGUAAAAUUCUUUCACCGGGGACGAUAAUGACGGUACCCGGAGAAGAAGCCCCGGCUAACUUCGUG